Ipomoea nil (Japanese morning glory) is the source of this 74-nucleotide transfer RNA. It matches the Rfam family "tRNA". Rfam says of the family: Transfer RNA (tRNA) molecules are approximately 80 nucleotides in length. Their secondary structure includes four short double-helical elements and three loops (D, anti-codon, and T loops). Lineage: Eukaryota; Viridiplantae; Streptophyta; Magnoliopsida; Solanales; Convolvulaceae. The record is from Rfam.
GUUGGAAUAGCUCAGUUGGUUAAAGUGUGUGGCUGUUAACCACAAGGUUGGAGGUUCAAAUCUUCCUUCUAGCG